GUUCAAGCCGCCGCGGUAAUACGGAGGGUGCGAGCGUUGUCCGGAAUCACUGGGCGUAAAGGGCGCGUAGGUGGUUCGGUAAGUUGCUGGUGAAAUCCCGGGGCUCAACUCCGGGGCUGCCGGCAAGACUGUCGGACUUGAGCACGGUAGGGGCAGAUGGAAUUCCCGGUGUAGCGGUGGAAUGCGUAGAUAUCGGGAAGAAUACCAGUGGCGAAGGCGUUCUGCUGGGCCGUUGCUGACACUGAGGCGCGACAGCGUGGGGAGCAAACAGGAUUAGAUACCCCAGUAGUCC
RNAcentral lists this ribosomal RNA (292 nucleotides) under uncultured bacterium. RNAcentral's name for it is "partial 16S ribosomal RNA". It matches the Rfam family "Bacterial small subunit ribosomal RNA", at positions 505 to 796 of the family's 1533-position model. The record is from RNAcentral.